Triticum aestivum (bread wheat) is the source of this 123-nucleotide non-coding RNA. NCBI's taxonomy places the organism in Eukaryota, Viridiplantae, Streptophyta, Magnoliopsida, Poales, Poaceae. The record is from Rfam.
CAUGUACUCCCUCCGUCCGAAAAUACUUGUCAUCAAAAUAAAUAAAAGGGGAUGUAUCUAGACCUAAUACAUCCCUUUUUAUUCAUUUUGAUGACAAGUAUUUUUGGACGGAGGGAGUAUAAG